This 63-nucleotide transfer RNA is filed under the name Pyrophorini sp. UPOL RK0213. RNAcentral's name for it is "tRNA-Phe". The record is from RNAcentral. Lineage: Eukaryota; Metazoa; Arthropoda; Insecta; Coleoptera; Elateridae.
AUCCUAAUAGCUUAUUUAGAGUAUGAUAUUGAAGAUGUUAGGGAGGUCUUUGACCUUAGGAUA